UGGGGAAUAUUGGACAAUGGGCGAAAGCCUGAUCCAGCAAUACCGCGUGUGUGAAGAAGGCCCUAGGGUUGUAAAGCACUUUCAAUUGGGAGGAAAACCUACCGGUCAAUACCCGGUAGCUUGACAUUACCUUUAGAAGAAGCACCGGCUAACUCCGUGCCAGCAGCCGCGGUAAUACGGAGGGUGCGAGCGUUAAUCGGAAUUACUGGGCGUAAAGGGUGCGUAGGUGGUUAAUUAAGUUAGAUGUAAAAGCCCUGGGCUUAACCUGGGAUUGAGAUUUAAUACUGGUUAACUGGAGUAUUGGAGAGGGUAGUGGAAUUUCCGGUGUAGCGGUGAAAUGCGUAGAGAUCGGAAGGAACACCAGUGGCGAAGGCGGCUACCUGGACCGAUAUUGACGCUGAGACGCGAAAGCGUGGGUAGCAAACAGG
RNAcentral lists this ribosomal RNA (428 nucleotides) under uncultured bacterium. RNAcentral's name for it is "bacterial SSU rRNA". It matches the Rfam family "Bacterial small subunit ribosomal RNA", at positions 355 to 776 of the family's 1533-position model. The record is from RNAcentral.